AUUGUUAUAGUUUAAAAAAAACUUUACAUUUUCAUUGUGAAAAUAGGUAAACUUACCUUAACGAUA
RNAcentral lists this transfer RNA (66 nucleotides) under Triops cancriformis. Its description in RNAcentral is "tRNA-Glu". Lineage: Eukaryota; Metazoa; Arthropoda; Branchiopoda; Notostraca; Triopsidae. The record is from RNAcentral.